UGUGUGGCCGGGAUAAGUGCUGAAAGCAUCUAAGCACGAAGCCCCCCUCAAGAUGAGAUUUCCCAUUGCGCAAGCAAGUAAGAUCCCUCAAAGACGAUGAGGUAGAUAGGUUCGGGGUGGAAGCGUGGCGACACGUGCAGCUGACGAAUACUAAUCGAUCGAGGACUUAACCAA
Molecule: ribosomal RNA, 174 nt
Filed under: Streptococcus pneumoniae
Lineage: Bacteria; Bacillati; Bacillota; Bacilli; Lactobacillales; Streptococcaceae
Description: partial 23S ribosomal RNA
Rfam family: Bacterial large subunit ribosomal RNA
Source: RNAcentral